Salmo salar (Atlantic salmon) is the source of this 53-nucleotide non-coding RNA. The record is from Rfam. NCBI's taxonomy places the organism in Eukaryota, Metazoa, Chordata, Actinopteri, Salmoniformes, Salmonidae.
ACAUAACACUAAUCAAGUCGCUCUGGAUAAGAGCGUCUGCUAAAUGACUUAAA